AUGGGGGCAUGUAGGACGGCUUCUACGUGUUCACCGGACGAGGCUCAAGGCAUGCAUGUGUUCGAUAUCUUGGGCUACAGCAAGCACAUGGGCAUGGGCAAAGACCCCGAUAGCUUCAUAAGAUCCAGGAUUUUCACUGUCGGCGGCCACGACUGGGCCAUCCGCUUCUACCCUGAUGGAUACGGUAAAGCAUGCCCAGAUUACAUCUCAGUUUAUCUCGAGCUUAUGAGUAACAGCACUAAAGUCCGGGCAUCCUGCGACCUGAGGCUAGUCGACCACUGCACCGGGUCAUCAUCUUCAGUGCAUAAAACGGGACCCAGGAUUUUCAAUUCCGGUGAUGCUACUAAGUUUGCUCCACCUCAUUCUUCUUUCAAAAAGCGAAACGAGAUCGAGGGAUCAACUUACCUCAGGGAUGAUCGCCUGACGAUAGAAUGCAUGGUCACUGUUAUAAAAAAGCCACAUGUUGCCGAUACCAAGCCAUUGCCCAAGAUCGACAUGCCACCAUCUGACAUGACUGCACAUGUUGGCAGGCUGCUGGAAGAAAAGGAGGGAUUUGAUGUUAGUUUCAUUGUUGGGGAAGAGACCAUUGACGCGCAUAGGUUCGUUCUCGCUAUGCGGUCGCCUGUUCUGAAAGCAGAGCUCUACGGGCCGAUGAGGGAGGCGAGGCCUGGGCAGUGCAUAACCAUCAAGGACAUGCAACCUGCCGUUUUCAAGGCCCUGCUCCAUUUCAUCUAUACCGACUCUUUGCCGGGAGACAUGGAUCUUGAGGGAGAUGAGGAUACUGACAUGGUCCGGCUUUUGCUAGUGGCUGCAGAUAGAUAUGCCAUGGAGAGGCUCAAGCUGGUUUGCCAAAGCAUCCUUUGUGACGAUCUGAAUGCAGACACCGUGGCAACCACACUGGCUUUAGCUGACCAACAUAACUGCCACAAGCUUAAGGAUGCUUGCCUUGAAUUUAUGGAAAUGUCAGAUGACAUGGAUGCUGUGGUGGCAACCCAAGGCUUCAAGGAUGUCAAGGCGACUUGCCCAUCUCUCAUAGUGGACGCAUUGGAGAAGAGAAGAAAGUUUCGUAAAGCAUGA
RNAcentral lists this ribosomal RNA (1077 nucleotides) under Triticum aestivum (bread wheat). RNAcentral's name for it is "partial small subunit ribosomal RNA". The record is from RNAcentral. Lineage: Eukaryota; Viridiplantae; Streptophyta; Magnoliopsida; Poales; Poaceae.